ACUAGUGGCAAUCGCUUUUAUUGGGCCUAAAGGGUCUGUAGCCGAUCUAUUAAGUCUCUUGUGAAAUUGUUGAGCUCAACUUAACAAUGUGCUAGAGAUACUGGUAGGUUAGGGACCGGGAAGAGACAGAAGUAUGCUUUGGGAAGCGGUAAAAUGCGAUAAUCCUUAGUAGACUACCUAUGGCGAAGGCAUCUGUCUAGAACGGGUCCGACGGUCAAGGACGAAGGCUGGGAGAACGAUCGGGAUUAGAUACCCCAGUAGCCCCAGCAGUAAACGCUGUGAACUAUGUGUUGCAUAUCCUCCGUGGAUGUGCAGUGCCGUAGCGAGGGUGUUAAGUUCACCGCCUGGGAAGUACGGCCGCAAGACUGAAACUUUAAGGAAUUGGCGGGGGCGCACUACAAGGAGUGCGGCGUGCGGUUUAAUCUAACUACACACAGAGAAUCUCACCAGGAGCGACGGCAGGAUGAAGGUCAGAUUAAAGGUCUUACCUGACGAGCCGAGAGAUGCUGCAUGGCCGACGUCAGCUCGUGCCGCAAGGUGUCACGUUAAGUCGUGCAACGAGCAAGACCUGUAUUUAUAGUUGCUACCGAGUUCUUCGGAAUGAUCGGGCACACUAUAGAGACUGCCUUCGUAAGAAGGAGGAAGGUGCAGGCAACGUUAGGUCUGUAUGGCUCGAAUCUUCUGGGCUACACGCGCGCAACAAUGGUAGGGACAAUGGGAUACGACUCCGAGAGGAGAAGUCAAACCUCUAAACCCUAUCCUAGUUCGGAUUGUGGGCUGUAACUCGCCCUCAUGACGCUGGAAUUCCUAGUAAUCGGAUAUUAGAAGUAUCCGGUGAAUAUGUCCCUGUGCCUUGCACACACCGCCCGUC
This 871-nucleotide ribosomal RNA is filed under the name uncultured archaeon. RNAcentral's name for it is "bacterial SSU rRNA". It matches the Rfam family "Archaeal small subunit ribosomal RNA", at positions 484 to 1354 of the family's 1478-position model. The record is from RNAcentral.